This 23-nucleotide microRNA is filed under the name Eptesicus fuscus (big brown bat). RNAcentral describes it as "efu-miR-9187". The record is from miRBase by way of RNAcentral. Lineage: Eukaryota; Metazoa; Chordata; Mammalia; Chiroptera; Vespertilionidae.
UGUUGCUUUGUGGGUGCCAGAUC